RNAcentral lists this long non-coding RNA (225 nucleotides) under Coffea arabica (coffee). RNAcentral describes it as "long non-coding RNA (CARA_LNC002676)". The record is from RNAcentral. Lineage: Eukaryota; Viridiplantae; Streptophyta; Magnoliopsida; Gentianales; Rubiaceae.
UCUUUUUGCCUUUUUUUGUUCUUUUUUUUUUUGAACAAAUUUACAAAAUUCAGUUAAGCUCCCUCAUUAACCAUACAUAAUAGGUUGCAAAACUUCUCUUCCUGUAUAAAAGAAGAAGCUAUAUAGUGAUAAUCCAGUGCUCCACCAUCGUGGCUGUUGAAUUCUGUUUAACUUUCAUUAAGCAAGUGCAUUCAUUGACAUGAAAUUCGAACUCCAAUUUAACUU